This 292-nucleotide ribosomal RNA is filed under the name uncultured bacterium. RNAcentral describes it as "partial 16S ribosomal RNA". The record is from RNAcentral.
GGACUACUGGGGUAUCUAAUCCCGUUCGCUCCCCUGGCUUUCGCCCCUCAGCGUCAGGAGGCCUCCAGGAGCGUGCCUUCGCCUUUGGUGUUCCUCCGGAUCUCUACGCAUUUCACCGCUCCACCCGGAAUUCCCGCUCCCUCUCGGCUCCUCAAGUCCAGCCGUUUUCUGACCCGUCUGCCGGUUGAGCCGGCAAUUGUCAGUCAGAACGCGCUGCACCGCCUACAGGCCCUUUACGCCCAGUAACUCCGGACAACGCUCGCCCCCUACGUAUUACCGCGGCUGCUGGCAC